Molecule: ribosomal RNA, 430 nt
Filed under: uncultured Alphaproteobacteria bacterium
Lineage: Bacteria; Pseudomonadati; Pseudomonadota; Alphaproteobacteria
Description: bacterial SSU rRNA
Rfam family: Bacterial small subunit ribosomal RNA
Source: RNAcentral
AACGCUGGCGGUAGGCUUAACACAUGCAAGUCGAACGGAGGCCCUAGCUUGCUAGGUGUCCUUAGUGGCGCACGGGUGAGUAACACGUGGGAACAUACCUCAUAGUACGGAAUAACUGCGGGAAACUGUAGCUAAUACCGUAUAUUCCAGAAAUGGGAAAGAUUUAUCGCUAUGAGAUUGGCCCGCGCAAGAUUAGCUUGUUGGUGAGGUAAUGGCUCACCAAGGCUCCGAUCUUUAGCUGGUUUGAGAGGACGAUCAGCCACACUGGGACUGAGACACGGCCCAGACUCCUACGGGAGGCAGCAGUAGGGAAUAUUGGACAAUGGGGGAAACCCUGAUCCAGCAAUGCAGCGUGAGUGACGAAGGCCUUAGGGUUGUAAAACUCUUUCAUCGGUGAGGAUAAUGACAGUAGCCGAAGAAGAAGGACCGG